Non-coding RNA from Epinephelus lanceolatus (giant grouper), 826 nucleotides. Lineage: Eukaryota; Metazoa; Chordata; Actinopteri; Perciformes; Serranidae. The record is from RefSeq and is a predicted model, not a curated record.
UGAUACAGAGUCAGCACAGGUGGGGACUCUACGGGUGUGUGUCAGGUGAUACAGAGUCAGGACAGGUGUGGACUCUACAGGUGUGUGUCAGGUGAUACAGAGUCAGCACAGGUGUGGACUCUACAGGUGUGUGUCAGGUGAUAGGUUUCUACCAUUUUUUUCCCGUUAAAGGUUUGUUUGGGGGGAGUCUUUCCUGAUCAGCUGUGAGGGUCCAAAGUACAGAGGGUUGUCAUAUCCUGUAAAGUCUCUGAGGCAAAUGAUUUGUGACAUUGGGCUUUAUAAAUAAAAUUGAUUGAUUGAUUGAUUGAUUGACUGACUGACUGACUGACUGAUUAAUACAGACUCACCACAGGUGGGGACUCUACAGGUCUCCUUCUGGACUGUGGGGUCUUUGGUGAAGCACCAGGGUCCAUCUGGGUUGUUGUUUGGGUUUCUACAGAAGUUUUCGUGAAGGAUGCUGUUUGGUUCUGAAGCAUUGUACUCCCUACAGACAGACAGACAGACAGACAGAGAGAGAGACAGUUAAUAACCCUGUCUCAAAGCUCCUGUUUGUGGCUCUGAAUCUGAACUGGGUCUAAAUUAUUCUCUUUAUAUUUACGAUCUGACAUUAUGAGAGUUCCGUAGGGGACUUAUUAUGGGAUGUUGGUGUGUCUGUUGGUUACCUCAUUAUGGGAUGUUGGUGUGUCUGUUGGUUACCUCAUUAUGGGAUGUUGGUGUGUCUGUUGGUUACCUUAUUAUGGGAUGUGGGAAGCUGCUCGUCCAGUACUGACAUUGUUUUCCUGACCGUGUGAUGUUGAUGUUUCCUUCAUAUUUAACUCCUGUACCA